ACCUGCGGAAGGAUCAUUAUUGAAUUAGCGAGGGCUGUCUGCUGGCCCCUUCGGGGGCAUGUGCACGCCCGAGCCGUUUAAAUCAACACCUGUGAACUCACCGUAGGCCUUCGGGCUUAUGUAUCAUAAUAUACUCAGAUCAUAGAAUGUAUGUUUUGCCUUUAAAAAAAAAGCAAUCAAAUACAACUUUCAACAACGGAUCUCUUGGCUCUCGCAUCGAUGAAGAACGCAGCGAAAUGCGAUAAGUAAUGUGAAUUGCAGAUUUUCAGUGAAUCAUCGAAUCUUUGAACGCACCUUGCGCUCCUUGGUAUUCCGAGGAGCAUGCCUGUUUGAGUGUCAUUAAAUCCUCAACCCCGUCGGUCGGUCGGGGCUUGGACUUUGGAGUGUGCUGGCGAAGGUCGGCUCCUCUUUAAAUGCAUCAGCGGAGAAAAACCUUUUUCCCCCUUCAGCGUGAUAACUGCGUUGCGCUGUGGUCGUGAAAGGGUCCGCUCAUAAUGGGACAAACACCAAAUCUGUUUUGACCUCAGAUCAGGUAGGACUACCCGCUGAACUUAAGCAUAUCAAU
Molecule: ribosomal RNA, 565 nt
Filed under: uncultured Atheliaceae
Lineage: Eukaryota; Fungi; Basidiomycota; Agaricomycetes; Atheliales; Atheliaceae
Description: eukaryotic LSU rRNA
Rfam family: 5.8S ribosomal RNA (bases 185-339)
Source: RNAcentral